CUGUUUGUAGCUAUUGACUAUAAUAGGCCUCUUUCAGACCAAGGUCUUUUUGAUAUAGUGUUGAAUAAGUUAUCGGGGAAAGAGUGGCGCCAAGUUCUUGAGAAGCUUGGCACCUGUUGUGGAAAGGUACUUAGCUUGAGUUGUAAAAACAGU
Molecule: long non-coding RNA, 153 nt
Organism: Lotus japonicus
Lineage: Eukaryota; Viridiplantae; Streptophyta; Magnoliopsida; Fabales; Fabaceae
Exons: 3
Source: RefSeq, a predicted model, not a curated record